RNAcentral lists this ribosomal RNA (462 nucleotides) under uncultured bacterium. RNAcentral describes it as "bacterial SSU rRNA". It matches the Rfam family "Bacterial small subunit ribosomal RNA", at positions 28 to 507 of the family's 1533-position model. The record is from RNAcentral.
GACGAACGCUGGCGGCGUGCUUAACACAUGCAAGUCGAGCGGGGAGAUUGCCUUCGGGUGAUCUUCUAGCGGCGGACGGGUGAGUAACGCGUGAGCAACCUUUCCUCUACUGGGGAAUAACACCGGGAAACUGGUACUAAUACCGCAUGAGACCACAGAGCGGCAUCGCUUAGGGGUCAAAGAUUUAUUGGUAGAGGGUGGGCUCGCGUCUGAUUAGCUAGUUGGUGAGGUAACGGCCCACCAAGGCAACGAUCAGUAGCCGGCCUGAGAGGGUGAACGGCCACAUUGGGACUGAGACACGGCCCAAACUCCUACGGGAGGCAGCAGUGGGGAAUAUUGCACAAUGGGGGAAACCCUGAUGCAGCGACGCCGCGUGAGUGAAGAAGUAUUUCGGUAUGUAAAGCUCUAUCAGCAGGGAAGAAAACGACGGUACCUGACUAAGAAGCCCCGGCUAAAUACGUG